UACCAGCACCCCGAGUGGUCGGGACGUUUUAUUGGGCCUAAAGCAUCCGUAGCCGGUUCUACAAGUCUUCCGUUAAAUCCAGCUGCUUAACAGAUGGGCUGCGGAAGAUACUAUGGAGCUAGGAGGCGGGAGAGGCAAGCGGUACUCGAUGGGUAGGGGUAAAAUCCGUUGAUCCAUUGAAGACCACCAGUGGCGAAGGCGGCUUGCCAGAACGCGCUCGACGGUGAGGGAUGAAAGCUGGGGGGAGCAAACCGG
RNAcentral lists this ribosomal RNA (255 nucleotides) under uncultured bacterium. Its description in RNAcentral is "partial 16S ribosomal RNA". It matches the Rfam family "Archaeal small subunit ribosomal RNA", at positions 474 to 727 of the family's 1478-position model. The record is from RNAcentral.